Molecule: ribosomal RNA, 460 nt
Filed under: uncultured bacterium
Lineage: Bacteria
Description: partial 16S ribosomal RNA
Rfam family: Bacterial small subunit ribosomal RNA
Source: RNAcentral
CCUACGGGUGGCAGCAGUGAGGAAUAUUGGUCAAUGGCCGUAAGACUGAACCAGCCAAGCCGCGUGAGGGAAGAAGGAUCUGUGGUUUGUAAACUUCUUUUAUAAAGGAAUAAAGUGUGGCACGUGUGCCCUUUUGUGUGUACUUUAUGAAUAAGGAUCGGCUAACUCCGUGCCAGCAGCCGCGGUAAUACGGAGGAUCCGAGCGUUAUCCGGAUUUAUUGGGUUUAAAGGGAGCGUAGAUGGGUUGUUAAGUCAGUUGUGAAAGUUUGCGGCUCAACCGUAAAAUUGCAUUUGAAACUGGCAGUCUUGAGUACAGGUGAGGUAGGCGGAAUGCGCGGUGUAGCGGUGAAAUGCUUAGAUAUCACGAAGAACUCCGAUUGCGAAGGCAGCUUACUAAACUGUGACUGACAUUGAUGCUCGAAAGUGUGGGUAUCAAACAGGAUUAGAUACCCCGGUAGUC